CUUAUCAUUUUCUCGUUUAUGUAAUUUUUAAUUAAUUCUUUUACUGAUUAAAAAAAAAAAAAAAAAAAGAAAAGAAAAGAAGAAGAAAGCACAAGAAAGAAGAAACAAGUAUAUAUUUAUAGUUAUAAAUCGCAAGAAGCAUUGCAUGGUUUAAUAUCCUCGUUGUUUUUUUUUUUUCUUCUUCUUUCUUUUAGAGAUAAAAUUACUUUGUUAAAAUAUUAUCGGCCAUUUUAUUAUACAAUAAAGAGAUAAAAAAGAGAGAGAUAGAAAGGAGGAGAGAGAGAGAGAGAGAGAGAGAGAGAGAUAGGAUCAAUAUAACAUGUUUCUAAAAGGGCGAAAGAAAGAGUCUCAUAUAAAAACAGAUAAGCAAACGCGUUUGAUUCGCAGAUGAUAGACUGACGACAUUUAACAUUUUCUCAUUUACGUGUUUGAAUAGAUCAAAGAAACGAACGAACGAAGUCGAGCGUGCAAACAGGUUUCGAAGCUGGUGAAAGUGGUCUGUCUCUUCACUGAUCUAAGGUCAUUCAGUAUCGUGUCACUCCUUUCGAGCUUCUUCGCAAAUAAGAGAACGCUUCAUCCUUGACACGAUAGGAACGAUAGCAACGAAGUAAAUGUAUUGCCGUAGAAAAUGAAUGUCUUAUUUGAAGUCAUCCCCACCACAAGAUUCUCUUCCCACCAAGGACGACACAUGGUAUGUUUGGAAUACCUGAUAAAAAAAAACUCAUUAAAAUUGGAUCCUUAAACAAAUGAUGUAAAUUAAACGAUAAACGACUGUAAAAUAAUUUUCUAACUUCAUAUUA
This is a long non-coding RNA of Vespa crabro (European hornet), 800 nucleotides long. RefSeq lists it as uncharacterized. The record is from RefSeq and is a predicted model, not a curated record. The transcript is spliced from 2 exons. NCBI's taxonomy places the organism in Eukaryota, Metazoa, Arthropoda, Insecta, Hymenoptera, Vespidae.